Cavia porcellus (domestic guinea pig) is the source of this 294-nucleotide non-coding RNA. Lineage: Eukaryota; Metazoa; Chordata; Mammalia; Rodentia; Caviidae. The record is from Rfam.
GGGUGUGGGGAUGACCUGGCUGCAACACCUGUCACCCCACUGACUGCCAGAGUUGACUCGGCUGAUCCAGCUGGCUGGGUGGUGCCCCUGUUCUCCCUCGACAUUCCAUGUGUGUCCCUGCCAAAGCUGCACACGUGGUCAAAGACAGCGACCAUCCCCACAGAGGAGGACCAUGUCCUCAGUUGGGUAUACUGGCAGCUGUGCACCCCUGCCAGAUUCACCCCCAAACAAGCCCUCUCAAGGCCUCUCAGCAUACUAAAAAACAGGAUUCCUUCUAGGAGGAAUUAUCACUAU